UUAUAAGAGACAGCAGUAGCCGCGGGAAUACGGAGGGUGCAAUCGUUAAUCGGAAUUACUGGGCGUAAAGCGCACGCAGGCGGUCUGACAAGUCAGAUGUGAAAUCCCCGGGCUUAACCUGGGAACUGCAUUUGAAACUGUCAGGCUGGAGUCUUGUAGAGGGGGGUAGAAUUCCAGGUGUAGCGGUGAAAUGCGUAGAGAUCUGGAGGAAUACCGGUGGCGAAGGCGGCCCCCUGGACAAAGACUGACGCUCAGGUGCGAAAGCGUGGGGAGCAAACAGGAUUAGAUACCCGCGUAGUCCCUGUCUCUUAUAC
Molecule: ribosomal RNA, 314 nt
Filed under: uncultured bacterium
Lineage: Bacteria
Description: partial 16S ribosomal RNA
Rfam family: Bacterial small subunit ribosomal RNA
Source: RNAcentral